GAUGAACGCUGGCGGCGUGCUUAACACAUGCAAGUCGAACGAAGCACUCUACUUGAUCUCUUCGGAGUGAUUGUUUUGUGACUGAGUGGCGGACGGGUGAGUAACGCGUGGGUAACCUGCCUCAUACAGGGGGAUAACAGUUGGAAACGACUGCUAAUACCGCAUAAGCGCACAGCAUCGCAUGAUGCAGUGUGAAAAACUCCGGUGGUAUGAGAUGGACCCGCGUCUGAUUAGCCAGUUGGUGGGGUAACGGCCUACCAAAGCGACGAUCAGUAGCCGACCUGAGAGGGUUACCGGCCACAUUGGGACUGAGACACGGCCCAAACUCCUACGGGAGGCAGCAGUGGGGAAUAUUGCACAAUGGGGGAAACCCUGAUGCAGCGACGCCGCGUGAGCGAAGAAGUAUUUCGGUAUGUAAAGCUCUAUCAGCAGGGAAGAAGAAAUGACGGUACCUGACUAAGAAGCACCGGCUAAAUACGUGCCAGCAGCCGCGGUAA
Molecule: ribosomal RNA, 497 nt
Filed under: uncultured bacterium
Lineage: Bacteria
Description: partial 16S ribosomal RNA
Rfam family: Bacterial small subunit ribosomal RNA
Source: RNAcentral